UUUGAAGCGACGUGUGUGUUGUUGUUUCGCUGUCAUUGCUGGAAUUCUUUUGAUGCAUUGGAAUUCUGUUGGUCUGUCACUUUAGCAUAUCUCACUCUCCUUCACCUAACAGAGCCUAAUCAUUCACAACUUGGAAAUUUCUUUAUCAACAUCUUCCUUUUGCUUUUGCUUUGAGUGUAAAAUAUCUCUGUUGCAUUGCUGUAACACAUUUUUGUAUAU
Molecule: unclassified non-coding RNA, 219 nt
Filed under: Hevea brasiliensis (rubber tree)
Lineage: Eukaryota; Viridiplantae; Streptophyta; Magnoliopsida; Malpighiales; Euphorbiaceae
Source: RNAcentral